AGUGGGGGAUAACGUAGCGAAAGUUACGCUAAUACCGCAUAUGCCCUGAGGGGGAAAGGAGGGGAUCGCAAGACCUUUCGCUUUCGGAGUGGCCGAUAUCAGAUUAGCUAGUUGGUGGGGUAAAGGCUCACCAAGGCGACGAUCUGUAGCUGGUCUGAGAGGACGACCAGCCACACUGGGACUGAGACACGGUCCAGACUCCUACGGGAGGCAGCAGUGGGGAAUUUUGGACAAUGGGCGCAAGCCUGAUCCAGCCAUGCCGCGUGAGUGAAGAAGGCCUUCGGGUUGUAAAGCUCUUUCAGCCGGAAAGAAAUCGYACWGGYUAAUACUCUGUGUGGAUGACGGUACCGGAAGAAGAAGCACCGGCUAACUACGUGCCAGCAGCCGCGGUAAUACGUAGGGUGCGAGCGUUAAUCGGAAUUACUGGGCGUAAAGCGUGCGCAGGCGGUUUUUUAAGACAGAUGUGAAAUCCCCGGGCUUAACCUGGGAACUGCAUUUGUGACUGGAAGACUAGAGUGCRGCAGAGGGGGGUAGAAUUCCA
RNAcentral lists this ribosomal RNA (541 nucleotides) under uncultured Gallionellaceae bacterium. Its description in RNAcentral is "bacterial SSU rRNA". It matches the Rfam family "Bacterial small subunit ribosomal RNA", at positions 135 to 671 of the family's 1533-position model. The record is from RNAcentral. Lineage: Bacteria; Pseudomonadati; Pseudomonadota; Betaproteobacteria; Nitrosomonadales; Gallionellaceae.